AGUUGGAAACGACUGUUAAUACCGCAUAAUAUCUGUGGAUUAAAGGUGGCUUUCGGGCUGUCGCAGAUGGAUGAGCCUGCGUUGGAUUAGCUAGUUGGUGGGGUAAGGGCCCACCAAGGCUACGAUCCAUAGCUGAUUUGAGAGGAUGAUCAGCCACAUUGGGACUGAGACACGGCCCAAACUCCUACGGGAGGCAGCAGUGGGGAAUAUUGGACAAUGGGGGCAACCCUGAUCCAGCAAUGCCAUGUGUGUGAAGAAGGCCCUAGGGUUGUAAAGCACUUUAGUUGGGGAGGAAAGCCUCAAGGUUAAUAGCCUUGGGGAGGACGUUACCCAAAGAAUAAGCACCGGCUAACUCCGUGCCAGCAGCCGCGGUAAUACGGGGGGUGCAAGCGUUAAUCGGAAUUACUGGGCGUAAAGGGUCUGUAGGUGGUUUGUUAAGUCAGAUGUGAAAGCCCAGGGCUCAACCUUGGAACUGCAUUUGAUACUGGCAAACUAGAGUACGGUAGAGGAAUGGGGAAUUUCUGGUGUAGCGGUGAAAUGCGUAGAGAUCAGAAGGAACACCAAUGGCGAAGGCAACAUUCUGGACCGAUACUGACACUGAGGGACGAAAGCGUGGGGAUCAAACAGGAUUAGAUACCCUGGUAGUCCACGCUGUAAACGAUGAGUACUAGCUGUUGGAGUCGGUGUAAAGGCUCUAGUGGCGCAGCUAACGCGAUAAGUACUCCGCCUGGGGACUACGGCCGCAAGGCUAAAACUCAAAGGAAUUGACGGGGACCCGCACAAGCGGUGGAGCAUGUGGUUUAAUUCGAUGCAACGCGAAGAACCUUACCUGGUCUUGACAUCCUGCGAACUUUCUAGAGAUAGAUUGGUGCCUUCGGGAACGCAGUGACAGGUGCUGCACGGCUGUCGUCAGCUCGUGUUGUGAAAUGUUGGGUUAAGUCCCGCAACGAGCGCAACCCCUAUUGAUAGUUACCAUCAUUAAGUUGGGUACUCUAUUGAGACUGCCGCUGACAAGGCGGAGGAAGGUGGGGACGACGUCAAGUCAUCAUGGCCCUUACGACCAGGGCUACACACGUGCUACAAUGGGUAUUACAGAGGGCUGCGAAGGUGCGAGCUGGAGCGAAACUCAAAAAGGUACUCUUAGU
RNAcentral lists this ribosomal RNA (1145 nucleotides) under uncultured Francisella sp. RNAcentral describes it as "bacterial SSU rRNA". It matches the Rfam family "Bacterial small subunit ribosomal RNA", at positions 148 to 1292 of the family's 1533-position model. The record is from RNAcentral. Lineage: Bacteria; Pseudomonadati; Pseudomonadota; Gammaproteobacteria; Thiotrichales; Francisellaceae.